RNAcentral lists this long non-coding RNA (479 nucleotides) under Elaeis guineensis (African oil palm). Its description in RNAcentral is "long non-coding RNA (EGUI_LNC074203)". Lineage: Eukaryota; Viridiplantae; Streptophyta; Magnoliopsida; Arecales; Arecaceae. The record is from RNAcentral.
GGUCUCAUUCGGUUGAUGAUCGUACCCUCCUCAUAGAAGAGCUAGAGGAGGGCUUCAGAUUUUCGUCCACCAUCGAAGAUGACCUUGAUCGUGCAACUGAGACGAGGACACGGGAUCUAUGGUAAUGGGUCAUUGACCCCACCAUCGGCACCAUGAGUGAAAAACAGACGACAGCCCGAAGCACAAUGCUGCUUCCGAAAUCGACCAACAGUCGGACCCGAGAAUGAGAGAACUUCCGAUCCGAUAGGGAGUCGUUGGCUGAAAUUUCCGACCAAACAUCCCCUGCAGAAAUCUUGCCCAUCGAAAGAACUAUCAAAGAUUCAAGGAAACUUAAAAAAGAAAACAACAAGGAAUGUUUUCGCACGAGAGCAGCUCUCUGAUAGAGCUUCCAUGCUAGAAGAGACAAUAGCAAGGUAAAUACCUAGCUGACAGCGGUCCUUUAUAUAGAGGAACACCCAAUGACCCAGAUGAAAGUGGUC